Non-coding RNA from Pelobates cultripes (western spadefoot toad), 146 nucleotides. The record is from the annotation of a GenBank genome assembly. Lineage: Eukaryota; Metazoa; Chordata; Amphibia; Anura; Pelobatidae.
GUGUCAGAGAGCUCUUUGAUCUGAGAGCACUCUGACACACUGUCUCUGUCUCUCUCUCUUUGAUCUGAGAGCUCUCUGACACACUGUCUCUCUCAGAGAGAGACAGUGUGUCAGAGAGCUCUCAGAUCAGAGAGAGACAGAGACAG